RNAcentral lists this ribosomal RNA (492 nucleotides) under uncultured bacterium. Its description in RNAcentral is "partial 16S ribosomal RNA". It matches the Rfam family "Bacterial small subunit ribosomal RNA", at positions 28 to 507 of the family's 1533-position model. The record is from RNAcentral.
GAUGAACGCUAGCUACAGGCUUAACACAUGCAAGUCGAGGGGAAACGACAUCGAAAGCUUGCUUUUGAUGGGCGUCGACCGGCGCACGGGUGAGUAACGCGUAUCCAACCUGCCCAUCACUUGGGAAUAACCUUGCGAAAGUAAGACUAAUACCCAAUGACAUCCCACGAAGACAUCUGAAUGGGAUUAAAGAUUUAUCGGUGAUGGAUGGGGAUGCGUCUGAUUAGCUUGUUGGCGGGGUAACGGCCCACCAAGGCAACGAUCAGUAGGGGUUCUGAGAGGAAGGGCCCCCACAUGGGAACUGAGACACGGUCCAAACACCUACGGGGGGCAGCAGUGAGGAAGAUUGGUCAAUGGGCGAGAGCCUGAACCAGCCAAGUAGCGUGCAGGAUGACGGCCCUAUGGGUUGUAAACUGCUUUUAGAAGGGAAUAAAGUGGGUCUCGGGAGACUUUUUGCAGGUACCUUAUGAAUAAGGACCGGCUAAUUCCGUG